Molecule: ribosomal RNA, 1270 nt
Filed under: metagenome
Description: bacterial LSU rRNA
Rfam family: Bacterial large subunit ribosomal RNA
Source: RNAcentral
AUCCGUACCAAAACUGACACAGGUGGGCGAGGAGAGUGUCCUAACGGCGCUCGAGAGAACGGUCCUUAAGGAACUAGGCAAUUUGACCCCGUAACUUCGGGAUAAGGGGGCCCUCCUCCUUCGGGAGAGGGCGCAGAGAAACGGCUCUGGGAACUGUUUAUCAAAAACACAGUUCUGUGCAAACUCGUAAAGAGGAAGUAUACAGAAUGACGCCUGCUCGGUGCCGGAAUGUUAAGGAAGUCGGUUAGCGCGUAAGCGCGAAGCUGGCGACCGAAGCACCGGUAAACGGCGGCCGUAACUAUGACGGUCCUAAGGUAGCGAAGUUCCUUGUCGGGUAAGUUCCGACGCGCAUGAAUGGCGUAAUCACUGGAGCAGUGUCUCAAGGACCGACUCGGUGAAAUUGAAGUCGCGGUGAAGAUACCGUGUACCCGCAGCAAGACGGAAAGACCCCGUGAACCUUUACUGCAGCCUGAUAUUGAUAACGGUUAUCGCAUGCGUAGGAUAAGUGGGAGGCGUUGAUCCGGUGGUUUCGGCCAUCGGGGAGCCAACGGUGAAAUACCACUCUUGUGCUAUUCGUUGUCUAACCUCGGCCCGUGAAUCCGGACGAGGGACAGUGUUAGGUGGGCAGUUUGACUGGGGCGGUCUCCUCCCAAAGAGUAACGGAGGAGCGCAAUGGUUGGCUCAGCACGGUUGGCAAUCGUGCGUCGAGUGCAAGGGCAUAAGCCAGCUUAACUGCAAGACCCAAGAGUCGAGCAGAUGCGAAAGCAGGCCCUAGUGAUCCGGUAAUCCCGUGUGGAAGGGUUAUCGCUCAACUGAUAAAAGGUACUCCGGGGAUAACAGGCUGAUGACCACCGAGCGUCCAUAGCGGCGUGGUCGUUUGGCACCUCGAUGUCGGCCCAUCACAUCCUGGGGCUGUAGGCGGUCCCAAGGGUUCGGCUGUUCGCCGAUUAAAGUGGUACGCGAGCUGGGUUCAGACCGGCGCGAGCCAGGUCGGUCCCUAUCUGCUGUGGGCGUAUGAGUCUUGAAGGGCCAUCACUCUAGUACGAGAGGAUUGGGUGGUACGUGCCUCUGGUGUACCAAUUGUCCUGCUAAGGGCAUCGUUGGGUAGCUAAGCACGGACAGGAUAAACGCUGAAUGCAUCUAAGCGUGAAGCCGUCCCUAAGAUGAGGACUCGUUGCUCCCCUUCGGGGUGAGCUGAAGACCCCUGGUAGACCACCAGGUUGAUAGGCUGGGUGUGUACGGACAGAGAUGUCUUAAGCUAACCAGUACU